UGAAUGGAUUUCAUCGGAC
RNAcentral lists this small nuclear RNA (19 nucleotides) under Arabidopsis thaliana (thale cress). Its description in RNAcentral is "snRNA_02249". The record is from RNAcentral. Lineage: Eukaryota; Viridiplantae; Streptophyta; Magnoliopsida; Brassicales; Brassicaceae.